This is a non-coding RNA of Picea glauca (white spruce), 118 nucleotides long. Lineage: Eukaryota; Viridiplantae; Streptophyta; Pinopsida; Pinales; Pinaceae. The record is from Rfam.
AUGUACAUGCCUACAACAUUAAUACAUCAGAUCUCAUCAAAACUCUAUAGUUAAGAGUACGUGGGCUAGAGUAGUAUUGGGAUGUGUGACCUCUUAGGAAGUCCUAGUUUUUUACAUG